CGCGUCCCUCUGGGCCCGGCCCCGCUCCUUCGGCGCCCUCCAGCCUCGCGGGUUUGCGCCGGCGUUGAACCGCUGCGGAAGGGAUGCCCUCAGGCCGCGCGCAGUCUAGCGCGGGAGGCUGACCUAGAGCUCUCCAGUUCCGUACGCCGAGGGCUCCUAAGAGAAUGACUGGAUGUUUUAUAAAGGCCUCACAGAUAUCACAGCUGAAAGUGAUUCUGACCCACUCAGAAUUCUUUGAAUAUGUUUGUGCCUCUCCUGUGACCCACGUGUGUGAUCCUUGAAGGGCAACAACCAGCAUCUGGCACAGAUGAGAAAACAGCCCAGAGAGUGAAAGCUGAUUAUUGCAAAUCACAGCCACCAGUGCCAGCCUCUGCACUUGGCCCGCCAGGCUGGGUGACCCUCCAAGGCAGGCCUCGUUCUACACAGCAGGGGUGUGGUUACUCUAAGUCACGGAGCUACAGAGGUGAGAUACUCUCACUUUGAUCCCAAGACCCAUGUGCACCCCACAAAUGCCAGCAGCCACACCUAGAACAAAAUGGUUUUAAUCAAUUGCGUCACCCUCACUCUCC
Molecule: long non-coding RNA, 569 nt
Organism: Hippopotamus amphibius kiboko
Lineage: Eukaryota; Metazoa; Chordata; Mammalia; Artiodactyla; Hippopotamidae
Exons: 3
Source: RefSeq, a predicted model, not a curated record